Molecule: ribosomal RNA, 373 nt
Filed under: uncultured bacterium
Lineage: Bacteria
Description: bacterial SSU rRNA
Rfam family: Bacterial small subunit ribosomal RNA
Source: RNAcentral
AUUGAACGCUGGCGGCAUGCCUUACACAUGCAAGUCGAACGGCAGCGCGGGGCAACCUGGCGGCGAGUGGCGAACGGGUGAGUAAUAUAAUCGGAACGUGCCCUGGAGUGGGGAUAACGUAGCGAAAGUUACGCUGAUACCGCAUACGAUCUAAGGAUGAAAGUGGGGGAUCGCAAGACCUCAUGCUCCUGGAGCGGCCGAUAUCUGAUUAGCUAGUUGGUGGGUAAAAGCCUACCAAGGCGACGAUCAGUAGCUGGUCUGAGAGGACGACCAGCCACACUGGAACUGAGACACGGUCCAGACUCCUACGGAGGCAGCAGUGGGGAAUUUUGGACAAUGGGGGCAACCCUGAUCCAGCAAUGCCGCGUGUGUA